CUGCAACAAACAUCAUGACC
RNAcentral lists this unclassified non-coding RNA (20 nucleotides) under Mus musculus (house mouse). Its description in RNAcentral is "oocyte_clustered_small_RNA8556". The record is from RNAcentral. Lineage: Eukaryota; Metazoa; Chordata; Mammalia; Rodentia; Muridae.